Molecule: long non-coding RNA, 1365 nt
Organism: Poecile atricapillus (Black-capped chickadee)
Lineage: Eukaryota; Metazoa; Chordata; Aves; Passeriformes; Paridae
Exons: 3
Source: RefSeq, a predicted model, not a curated record
AGUAAAGUGGUCUGAACAAUUGCUACAUAGUUUGUUCUGAGUAAUAAGGUUUAAUUGCUGCUUUUCCCUAUUCUUACCACUGUUGUUCAUUAUGAUUGCAAGUUACCACAUUUCCAGGAAAUAGAUUGAAAGGCCUCUGGAUUAGCAUGGGAGAGCUGGUGAAUUCUGAGGAACACCUGGGACAUGGAAGAGCAUUUCAUAUGGUGGAGAGUAGAAAAAAAGGUGGUGUUAAGGUUUCAUCUACUGUUUUACUCCACCAAAAGAUAUUUUUCUACAUCUUUACAUGGCAGUAUAUUCUAUGGCAUUCUUCCACAGGAGGAAGAAAAUAGUGACUUUUCAGGCCAAAAAAAUGAAAAAGUUGUCUCUUAACUAAUUUUUAUUCCUGCAAACAAACAAAAGCAUUCAACAGAGAGCUUGGCUUUACCAAGAGUGAAGUGCACUUUAGUCUACAGGUGUAAUUAUUUCAAUUUCUAGGAAAAAAUACUUAAAAUAUUUUACUUUCUUAAACUAAAGUGAAAAUGCAUAGCUUCUGAUUAGCCAUGCUGUUAGCAAUGUAGCAGUUUACAUCUGAACACCAUGACACCAUCGACUCAACCCAUUUCCAUGAAUGUAUUUCCAACUGUUGUGAUUAAACAGCAUACAUUCAGAUUAAACAGACACAUAGCUCAGGUGAGAGAGACCUUCAAUGAAUUUUGAUACUGUGGGAUAUAAACUAGAUAAGAUUUGUAGAAAAUGUGAUACCUUUCAUUAGAUCAACUGAUAGAAAUUGAAAAAAUAAAGUUUUUGACUUGACUGACAUCAUUAAUGAGAACUGAGAAGGAGAAAAACCCAAACUAAAUACAAGUGGCAUGGUAUUUGGUUUUGUAUAAUAAAAUUAUUUUAAUCACUUAAACACUGGUGAGAAAACACCUGCUAAAAUGAAUGUUCAGAGGAUGAAUCAGCAAGAAAACUGUCAGCUUUACAAAUAAUGUUGCUACUGUCUCCAUGAAGAAUGUAGUUCCAGGAUUGUUUUUUAAACAUGACUUGGAGGUCCCUUUUUAGUCCCUGCUCUGAGAUGGACUAUUUUUUUUUUUUUUAAUGUAUGAAAUAAUUACUAUGAAAUAAUUAUUCUCCUCCCCUUUGCUGUGUUUUGUCUGUGAUCUGUUAUGUGUGUCAAUUCAUUGUAGUGAAUAACAGUUGAUGGUUCCAUGCAUGUAAUUUUCAUAGGGAUGUGUGAUACUUAGUGUAAUAAAUUUAAAGAGUAUCAAGAAAACACAUGGAAAUUAAUUAUUUUGGUCACUGAUAUCAAUUAUAUUAAAUAUGUGAGUAUCCAUGAAGUUUACUUUGCUGUGCCAGCAAGGUUUCACACUAAUGAGUGUUAGUAUA